GAUUCUUGGUCAUUUAGAGGAAGUAAAAGUCGUAACAAGGUUUCCGUAGGUGAACCUGCGGAAGGAUCAUUACAGAGAACUUGCCCUUUGGGGUAGAUCUCCCACCCUUUGUUUACCAUACUUUGUUGCUUUGGCAGGCCCGCCUUCGGGCCGCCGGCUUCGGCUGGUCAGCGCCUGCCAGAGGAUCUCAAACUCUUGAUUUAGUGUUGUCUGAGUACUUGAUAAUAGUUAAAACUUUCAACAACGGAUCUCUUGGUUCUGGCAUCGAUGAAGAACGCAGCGAAAUGCGAUAAGUAAUGUGAAUUGCAGAAUUCAGUGAAUCAUCGAAUCUUUGAACGCAUCUUGCGCUCCUUGGUACUCCGAGGAGCAUGCCUGUUUGAGUGUCAUUUAGCUCUCAACCACACCUGUUGAUAAAAUAGGCGUGGCUUUUGGAUGUGGGGGUUUUAUUUUGCAGGCUUAGACAAGUCAGCUCCCCUGAAAUGCAUUAGUAGUAUCUAGGCUACUAGUAGGUGUGAUAAUUUAUCUAUGCCUUUUAGUGUAACAACAGAUUACACUGCUUCUAACCAAAAUAAUGACAAACUUGACCUCAAAUCAGGUAGGACUACCCGCUGAACUUAAGCAUAUCAAUAAGCGGAGGAAAUCACUAGNGAAUUU
This 654-nucleotide ribosomal RNA is filed under the name uncultured fungus. RNAcentral describes it as "eukaryotic LSU rRNA". The stretch from base 233 to 386 matches the Rfam family "5.8S ribosomal RNA". The record is from RNAcentral. Lineage: Eukaryota; Fungi.